Molecule: ribosomal RNA, 253 nt
Filed under: uncultured bacterium
Lineage: Bacteria
Description: partial 16S ribosomal RNA
Rfam family: Bacterial small subunit ribosomal RNA
Source: RNAcentral
UACGAAGGGGGCUAGCGUUGCUCGGAAUCACUGGGCGUAAAGGGCGUGUAGGCGGUCAAGUAAGUGGAAUGUGAAAGCCCCCGGCUUACCCGGGGAUCUGCAUCCCAAACUGCUUGGCUUGAGUACGGGAGAGGAUAGGGGAAUUCCUGGUGUAGCGGUGAAAUGCGUAGAUAUCAGGAGGAACACCGGUGGCGAAGGCGCCUAUCUGGCCCGAUACUGACGCUGAGGCGCGAAAGCUAGGGGAGCAAACGGG